AUGAUGAUGAUGAUGAUGAUCAGGACUCAUGAUGAUGAUGAUGAUGAUCAGGACUCGAUGAUGAUGAUCAGGACUCAUGAUGAUGAUGAUCAGGACUCAUGAUGAUGAUGAUGAUGAUCAGGACUCGAUGAUGAUGAUGAUCAUGACUCGAUGAUGAUGAUGAUGAUCAGGACUCAUGAUGAUGAUGAUGAUCAG
This 195-nucleotide long non-coding RNA is filed under the name Cercocebus atys (sooty mangabey). RNAcentral describes it as "lncRNA (ENSCATG00000045494.1)". Lineage: Eukaryota; Metazoa; Chordata; Mammalia; Primates; Cercopithecidae. The record is from RNAcentral.